UAUUGGAAUGCGCAUGCGCGCAGUCAGACACAUUAGCAGACGUAUUUUUGGUUUGUGAUUUCGUUGCAGACACGCCUUUGUUUUACUGCAGUGCGGCUAAGAUACUGUUUGGACAAGAGAAAGUAUUCUCAGAUUUCAAUCUAGCAUGAUUCUAUCAAUUGUUUGUAAAUAUCUGUACAAUCGGGAGACAAAACGAAGAAAAUAUUUUGCUUGCUUAUUAGCUACUUGAUAUUUUAUUUGCAAUUUUAUUUUGUUUUCAACUGUUAUUUAGGUUAUUUCUAUUAAAAAGUGUCAUUCUUAUCAAAUACAGAAUGUACUUGGCAGAAGACCAUUUUUAUGAUCACUUCCAUGCUGAAGAAUAUAAUGAUUUCAAGUUCUGGAGGGAACCAAUCAUGGAGAUCACUUUAGAAGAGUUAGAGGUUCCAGUGACGAAAAAGAAGGAUGAAGUUGUAGUUUCAACUGAAUUUGAUUCCUUCCUUUAUUGGAGGGAUCCAAUCCCGGAAAUAAAUGAACUGUAAAAUUUACAUGUUUUAUUAGGUAUUAUACUUAUUUAAUUAGUUAAUUAUAUUGAAAUAGAAUCAUUGGAUUACUUGUUGGUGAAUAAGUAAUAAUCUUAAAUGCUUCUACUGAUAUUUACAAUAUUCAAACUAUGAAAUGUUACAAAAACAAGCUAGUCUAUGUAAUAAUUUUAAAGAUUGUUGGCAUCACUUAAUAUUGAUUUAUUUCUGCUGCAAAGUUUAUUCUAUGUAUCAAACUAUUGGGCUUGUGAAUUAAAAUGUUAAUUUUUGCAUAAA
This is a non-coding RNA of Parasteatoda tepidariorum (common house spider), 794 nucleotides long. Lineage: Eukaryota; Metazoa; Arthropoda; Arachnida; Araneae; Theridiidae. The record is from RefSeq and is a predicted model, not a curated record.